This 65-nucleotide transfer RNA is filed under the name Perna viridis (Asian green mussel). RNAcentral describes it as "tRNA-Trp". The record is from RNAcentral. Lineage: Eukaryota; Metazoa; Mollusca; Bivalvia; Mytilida; Mytilidae.
AGGAAGAUAAUUUAAAUGAAAAUAUCUUGUUUCAAACUAGAAUAUAGACUGAAGUCUUUUUCCUG